Molecule: long non-coding RNA, 820 nt
Organism: Rosa rugosa (rugosa rose)
Lineage: Eukaryota; Viridiplantae; Streptophyta; Magnoliopsida; Rosales; Rosaceae
Exons: 4
Source: RefSeq, a predicted model, not a curated record
CUCAAUCACCAUCGCUCUCGGCCUCCCUCCGACUCACCGAUCAGAUCGAACCGCUGGAGAAUUAUCCUACGGUUCUAAUUUUCACAACGGGAUCUCACACAAUUUUCAUGUUUCCUCUUUAAUUUUCAGAUUCCCUCUUCACCCAUAUCGAAUUCUCUCUUCGUUUCAUUACAACAUAACAAAAAGAACAAAUGGGUUUCCUCUCCUUCAACUCUCCUUGACCUAAUUUCUUUAUAUCAUCGCAGAUAGAAGCUUGAGGACUGAACCCCAACUCCAAAAUCAAGACCAGAGAAGCUUUGACUUUCAGUUACUCUCUUCUCUCCCUAAUUUUCAAUUGGUGGGUGUUCAAAUUUAUGGGUUUAUGGUAGGGAUUAGUGUUUAUAUUCAUGGGUACUGUUGAAAUUGCUUCCUCAUGCUCUUGUUCUUGGAAGAGAGAUCUUCGGUCUUGAACGAGCUCGUCAAGUACAAAAGGAAGAGAACAUUUGGCGAAGCUAGCUUCACCCAGUACCUUUAACAGCACCAGAUAAUGUUUUGAGAAGCUGUGGCGGGGGAGCUUGCAAGACUGAGAAGGAGAGCUCUACUGAUGGUGGUCUCAAUGACAUUGCGUUUCUUUUACUUCCUACUGAUUAAGAGUUGGCUGCUGCAUUUGUGGACUAAAAGAGAAGAUUCCUUCAAGGACCUGAGACUGAUCCAGCAACUGUGAAAAAAAUAAGAGAGGCAAUUGACAACCAGACUGACGUGACUGUACAACUCAUCAAUUACACGAAAAGCGGCAAAAAGUUCUGGAAUGUCUUUUAUCUGCAGCCUAUGCGUGAUCAAA